This 433-nucleotide ribosomal RNA is filed under the name uncultured bacterium. RNAcentral's name for it is "partial 16S ribosomal RNA". It matches the Rfam family "Bacterial small subunit ribosomal RNA", at positions 29 to 507 of the family's 1533-position model. The record is from RNAcentral.
AACGAACGCUGGCGGCAUGCCUAACACAUGCAAGUCGAACGAGACCUUCGGGUCUAGUGGCGCACGGGUGCGUAACGCGUGGGAACCUGCCUUUAGGUUCGGAAUAACUCAGAGAAAUUUGAGCUAAUACCGGAUGAUGUCUUCGGACCAAAGAUUUAUCGCCUUUAGAUGGGCCCGCGUUGGAUUAGCUAGUUGGUGGUGUAAAGGCCUACCAAGGCGACGAUCCAUAGCUGGUCUGAGAGGAUGAUCAGCCACACUGGGACUGAGACACGGCCCAGAAUACUACGGGAGGCAGCAGUGGGGAAUAUUGGAAAAUGGGCGAAAGCAUGAUCCAGCAAUGCCGCGUGAGUGAUGAAGGCCUUAGGGUUGUAAAGCUCUUUUACCCGAGAUGAUAAUGACAGUAUCGGGAGAAUAAGCUCCGGCUAACUCCGUG